AAGGCUUCCUGAUCAACAGUCAAGUUCUUUGUAGUUAGUGGUUUUGUGUUUCAGUGCCAGCAAAGCUUUUUCAGAUUGGCAUGUCUCAUGUUGGAGGGAAUGUGCAUGGCAGUUGUAGACUACUCAAGUGACACCUGAGGAACAGGGAGGGUUAGAUGGGAGAAACUCACGAACUUCCCAUGUGAAGUCUGUAUCUGCUCAAGACUGAGACCAGUGAGCCAGCAUCACUUCAUUGGAGACAGUGUUUCUACAAAGGACUGAGAGACAGCAAGUACAGAAUCAAAAACAAGAUGACAAUUCCAAACCAUAUGCUGGUUUUAAUCCAGGACCCUAGGUCUGAAAGGAGCCAACUGAAAAUAUUUAUUGGCACUUGUUUGGACUGAAGGCAAACCCGGAGUCCUGUAUGCCUCCUGGAAGUGUCCUCCCCCAGUGGCUAGAAACAAAACAGACAAAUACUGCAGGAAUGCACUGAAUGAAAUCACUGAGCACAUUAGGGAACAUAGAGUACACUGAAGAACAUGAAGCAAUAGUUAGAGAACUUGUUGCAAGAAUAGGAAUACUUCUGGGACAUUUCAAAACAGUAUUGUUCUUUCAAAAGAACUGUUUAGAACUAUAUGGGUUAUCAGUAGUGGUCUGUUAUGUUGUAAAUUCAGAAACCAUGCAUUUGGAUUAGAAUCAGGAUUCAGUUAGUAGUUGAGGUAAAAGAAAGACUUUUGAAUUCUGAACCUUCUAAACCUCUAGAAAUGCUCACAAGAUCAAAAGGAGGCGAUUUUAGGGAAGAUCAUAAUCCAAAGAGGUUUCCUCCUUUUGCAAGAGACUGGGAUAUGCAGAAAAUGGCAUGUUCUUUGCACAAAAGAGGUAGAAGGAGCAACAGUGAGAAAAGGAAUGCAGGCCUGGUCUGGACAUGUGGGGCAAGCUGUCUCCCCAGAUGUUUUCUAUUGCAAUUUGGGAAGUAUUUACCUUCUUGUCACCAGCUGGUGUACAGGUCCAGUCAGGGUUUGGUGCCUUCUUUAAAUGUGUCCCGUGGACCCAAGAGUCCAUUCCCUGGGAUUUGGCAGCACAAGGUUUGGUUAGCAGUAUGUGAUAAGGGCCUCUCAAGGGAGGUUGAAGAGAAUCUCUGUGGAGGUGUCUUUUCCAAUGGAGAGACUCUCCAGGUUGCAAGGUGUGAUGAUCAAGGGAGUAAGUUGUGUCACUCUCCGUGGAAUGAAGAUCAAGCCGGGUUCCAUCGGGAAAGGCAUCCCCUCCUUCGACGUCCAGGGCUCCUCCCCCCAUUUAUUCUCACCAGUGUCACACAAAUAGUCAGGUACUGUGUGGGUGGGGCCGGCGUGUUGGGGUGGCCCUGCAGGUUGGGAUCCACAGGCCUGUUGCUCCAGAUCAUUGACGACAAGGGCAACAGCCUGCCGUUCAACACUGAAGGCAACAUUGGCAUCAGGAUGAAGCCCACCAAGCCCAUUGGCCUCUUCAUGGGCUAUGAAGACAACCCAGUAAAGACAGCCAAAGUGGAGUGUGGGGACUUUUACAACUCUGGAGAUAGAGCAACUAUGGAUGAAGAGGGCUACAUCUGGUUCCUGGGGAGGAACGAUGACAUCAUCAAUGCCUCUGGGGACGAGGUGACCCUCCAAAACAUGAGACUUGAGGGCUUGGGUCACCCGGCCCUGGCAGCCACUCAGAAGCCAAGAAGGAGCCCGCAGGUACCGCGUCGGGCCCGCAGAGGUGGAGAAUGCCCUGGCCGAACACCCGGCUGUGGCUGAAUCAGCUCUGGUGAGCAGCCUGGACCCAAUUCGAAGGGAGGUGGUGAAGGCAUUUAUUGUCCUGACUCCGGAAUUCCUCUCCCAUGACCGGGACCAGCUCACCAAGGAGCUACAGCAGCAUGUGAAGUCAGUGCCAGCCCCGUAUGGAAUUUGUCUCAGAGCUGCCCGAAACCGUCACUGGCAAGAUUAAAAGAAGUGACCUUCGGAAAAAGGAGUUUGGUCAGAUGUAAUCAGCAAAACCCUCAGAAACCACUGUGUCUUCUUUGCCAAAUCCCUGGCUGCCUCAGUUUCCUCACUAUGGGGAGGGUGAGGAGGGGAGUGUUGGACAUUGAUUUUAAGAGCAUCAGGAGUGCUCACAUUGCAGCAUUUUUGUUCUUUUAAAUUACUAUCCAUUACUCUCCUGCUUCCAAGUCCCCGAGUGAGCGCCCAGGAUGUAGCUGGGGUAAUAAAGGGACAUGAGCAUCCAAGGGGACUUGUGUUGUGCUUUGAUUCUGUGAAUGAACCAGAGCUAAAUGCGGUCCCUCCAUGAUUCUCCCCAAGCCCCAUUGGAGAGGACUCUGGGGCCAGAUUCUCCCCCCUGGUUCCAGGGGCCCUGGGUGACUCCUGUUGUCUGUUCAACAACCACAACACAGAGGUCUGGGGAGGGACCCUUCCUUGGCCCCAGGUGUCCACCUCUGCCUGGCUUGCCCAUGCCCUGCUGGAGGGUGAGGUCAGGGCCAAGCUAGUGAGGUGGCUGGGGAAGGGGGAAGGCACCGAGGGCAGCCCAGCCUGGUGGUUCCACCUGCCUGCCAGACCAUUCCUCACCGCUCCAUCCAGCAUGCCAUGGACCCGCUGCCUCUGUAUGGUGCUGCUUCCAGGUCCCAGCCUGCACCAGCUUAGGUGUGGGAGGGAUCUGCCCUGUGGGGACCCAGGAAACCUGCAAGACUCCUCCAGCCCUUUCCGGGGUGCCCAAUCCCCCAUGCCUUCCAUGGAGCCCAGGAGCUCCGUUCCCCAGCCCUCCGUAGGGCCCCCCAAUCACUCACCCUUCCCCAGGGCCCAGGAAUCCCUCAGCCUCCCCAGGGGCCCGGAGCUCUCCCCACACUUUAUGAGGUCCUCCUGCCAUCUGUAGCCCGAGAGAUGAUGUGUGCAAAGGGCAGGGCUUAGCACAGGCCUGAAACAGGAGGGACCUCUGGUUGUCACCAGUGUUGCUUUGAACAGCUGUGAGACGUGAGGCACCGGAUCUGGGAAGGCACUUGCCCCAUGGAGAUGAUGAUGCUAAUGUCCACAGGUGCUCAGCACGGGGCUUCCUCUUGUCCUCAGCACAGUUAUGGACACAGGCUUGGACGCCCCAGCUCACUGAAGGAAAGCAGCCCAGGGUCACAGAGCUGGUAAGCAGCACAGCUGGAUCUCACACUCUAGGCUCCCGGCCCUGUUUCCAGGGGCCACGAAGGGCUUCGUAGACAGGAGGCUGACACUGGCUUUGGGGACACUUCCUCACCUCCACGAGUGAUCUCACCUGUUCGAGGCCCCCAAACUCUGUUCACUGCUUCUUCUUCCCUGCUCCCUGUUCCAGUUAUAAUCAGGGUGACCCCGGCCAUCCUUCCUGGAAUUCCCUAGUCCCCCUUAUAGGCUGGGCCUAUAUAUAUAUAGUCUGACUCCACCCCUUCUGUAGCUGGUCUCUCCUUCUAUAACCAGGACCACCCGACUCUGGGGCUCUGGAGGCGGCAGCAGCUUCUAAACAGAAUUUAAUACAAAUGUUUUGCUAUCCUUGUUUUGUUUUUGUUUGCGUGUCUUUUAUGGCUUCUUUAUAUUUUAUGGCUAAUUAUAUAAAUAUAUUUAUAUUUAUGUUAAAGAUACUGUGUUCC
Mirounga angustirostris (Northern elephant seal) is the source of this 3595-nucleotide RNA transcript. It is a transcript of the gene named acyl-coenzyme A synthetase ACSM1, mitochondrial-like, with no coding region annotated. The record is from RefSeq and is a predicted model, not a curated record. The transcript is spliced from 7 exons. NCBI's taxonomy places the organism in Eukaryota, Metazoa, Chordata, Mammalia, Carnivora, Phocidae.